GUGAAUCGUGUUGCUCUUCCCCAGAGGGGGACGUGUCAGUUCAGCCAGUUCACCUGUCACCAGCUUGUAGAUCAAAGGUCCACCAUCAAAGCACCAAAGACUCAAGACACAGAGGAUGAGGAGGGGGCUCAGUGGAAUUGCACUGCCUGUACAUUUCUGAACCACCCGGCCUUGAUCCGCUGUGAGCAGUGUGAGAUGCCGCGGCAUUUCUGAGCCAAAGGCCCCGUCUUCCUCUGAAGCCACGUCUAAACUUCAAGACCGUCGCCUGUCAUGGGGAAGUGUGUCACCCACGUAGGAGUUAGUCCAGUUGAAGGUGUGGGGAGACAGCGGUGUGCUGUGUCGAGUGUCAGCCCACAGAGCUAACGAUACCUCAGUCUAAGUCACGGGCAGUGGGAUUCGUCACCUGAAAGGUGACCUGAGAGACCGGGCUGCCUGCUGCCUGACCAUGUGCAGUGUCACCGUGUCAAUGCCUAGGCGUUCCCAGGACUUCUCCCCUCUUGUCACUACUGAUCUCGAUGGGAGGAAGGAACAGGAUGAUCGCUUUUUGUGUUUUUAAAGCUUUUGGUGAAACACUACAUACACAAAGAGAAGGAACAAGGUUUGACUAUUAAAAACUCUGCUGCCACAUAGUGCCAGUAGAUGUGGGAAUCGUCACAAAUCUGUGGUACUUUUGGCCUUGUCCUCUGUCUUCCCUGAGGACGUCUCUGUGAAGCCAGCAUCUAGGUGUGAGAUCAAAGGAAAGCAGUGUGUCUGUCUGUACA
RNAcentral lists this long non-coding RNA (761 nucleotides) under Rattus norvegicus (Norway rat). Its description in RNAcentral is "long non-coding RNA NONRATT001930". The record is from RNAcentral. Lineage: Eukaryota; Metazoa; Chordata; Mammalia; Rodentia; Muridae.